RNAcentral lists this transfer RNA (65 nucleotides) under Staphylinidae sp. BMNH 1274697. RNAcentral describes it as "tRNA-Cys". Lineage: Eukaryota; Metazoa; Arthropoda; Insecta; Coleoptera; Staphylinidae. The record is from RNAcentral.
GGCCUUAUAGUCUAAUAAAAAUGAUUUUAAAUUGCAAAUUUAAAGAUGGGGUAUGCCUAAGGCUU